CCUUGAGCUGAGGCACGAUCCAGAAAUUACCUGACUGUCAUAUUCCCAAGAAAAGCUCGUAGUACUGUACAUCAGAAAGUACCUGUACCGUAAACCGACACAGGUAGGUUGGUAGAGAAUACCAAGGGGAGCGAGAUAACUCUCUCUAAGGAACUCGGCAAAAUGACCCCGUAACUUCGGGAGAAGGGGUGCCCUCCACUAAGGAGGGCCGCAGUGACCAGGCCCUGGCGACUGUUUAUCAAAAACAUAGGUCUCCGCAAAGUCGUAAGACAACAUAUGGGGGCUGACGCCUGCCCAGUGCCGGAAGGUUAAGGAAGUUGGUUAUUUUUUCUUAGGAAGGAAGAAGCUGACGACCGAAGCCCCGGUGAACGGCGGCCGUAACGAUAACGGUCCUAAGGUAGCGAAAUUCCUUGUCGGGUAAGUUCCGACCCGCACGAAAGGCGUAACGAUCAGGGCGCUGUCUCGGAGAGAGACUCGGUGAAAUAGACAUGUCUGUGAAGAUGCGGACUACCUGCACUUGGACAGAAAGACCCUAUGAAGCUUGACUGUAGCUUGGAAUUGGGUUCGGGCUCUUCUUGCGCAGCCUAGGUGGGAGGCGUUGAAAGUUUUCUCUUGGGAAAACUGGAGCCAUCAGUGAGAGACCACUCUGGAGGAGCUAGAAUUCUAAUGGCGUUCCUUGAAGCAGGACGCUUGACAGUUUCAGGUGGGCAGUUUGACUGGGGCGGUCACCUCCUAAAAGGUAACGGAGGUGUGCAAAGGUUCCCUCAGGCUGGACGGAAAUCAGCCGUAGAGUGUAAAGGCAGAAGGGAGCUUGACUGCAAGACCUACAAGUCGAGCAGGGGCGAAAGCCGGCCUUAGUGAUCCGACGGUUCCGCGUGGAAGGGCCGUCGCUCAACGGAUAAAAGUUACUCUAGGAUAACAGGCUGAUCUUCCCCAAGAGUUCACAUCGACGGGAAGGUUUGGCACCUCGAUGUCGGCUCAUCGCAACCUGGGGCGGUAGUACGUCCCAAGGGUUGGGCUGUUCGCCCAUGAAAGCGGUACGUGAGCUGGGUUCAGAACGUCGUGAGACAGUUCGGUCCAUAUCCGGUGUAGGCGUUAGAGUAUUGAGAGGAGCCUUCCAUAGUACGAGAGGACCUGGAAGGGCACACCUCUGGUGUACCAGUUCUCGUGCCAACGGGAAACGCUGGGUAGCCAUGUGUGAUGUGAUAACCGCUGAAAGCAUCUAAGCGGGAAGCCAACCUCAAGAUGAAUGCUCUCCAUUAGGUCACAGCAAGAUAAGCUGGUUGAUAGGCUUCAGGUGUAAGCGUUGUAAGGCGUUCAGCCGAGAAGUACUAAUAGACCGAUUGAUUUUGACC
Molecule: ribosomal RNA, 1355 nt
Filed under: metagenome
Description: bacterial LSU rRNA
Rfam family: Bacterial large subunit ribosomal RNA
Source: RNAcentral